RNAcentral lists this ribosomal RNA (305 nucleotides) under uncultured bacterium. Its description in RNAcentral is "bacterial SSU rRNA". It matches the Rfam family "Bacterial small subunit ribosomal RNA", at positions 333 to 630 of the family's 1533-position model. The record is from RNAcentral.
GGGCGCCUACGGGAGGCAGCAGUGGGGAAUUUUGGACAAUGGGCGCAAGCCUGAUCCAGCUAUUCCGCGUGUGGGAUGACGGCCCUCGGGUUGUAAACCACUUUAGUAGAGAACGAAAAGGAGCUAUCGAAUAAAUAGCUCUGCUGACGGUACUCUAAGAAUAAGCACCGGCUAACUACGUGCCAGCAGCCGCGGUAAUACGUAGGGUGCGAGCGUUGUCCGGAAUUACUGGGUGCAAAGGGAGCGCAGGCGGGAAGCCAAGUCAGCUGUGAAAACUACGGGCUUAACUUGUAGACUGCAGUUGA